UAGGGUAUUUUUUUUCUUGGUUGAUGAAGAUGUAGAGGCAGUCAUCGAUGGUGUUCUCUGGUUUUUAAACGGAUGAAGUUACAGGGGUGGGGAGGACGAAGAAGAUGAAAAGUCAGGAGAGGGUGGUGGCUAAUUAUGGCUUGCUACGGUUUUGGUAGUGUUGUCCUUCAUUAUUGUCCUUGUCAAGAAGAAGAUGAUGAAGCAACGGGAGUCCGUUCUUGUUGUCGAAGAAGCAGCAGCCGCUCAGAGCUACUAUUCCUUGUGCAGCGGCGGUGGGGCGGGAUCAGGAGUGGCGGCUGGUCGUGGGUUUUUAGG
This 315-nucleotide long non-coding RNA is filed under the name Nicotiana benthamiana. Its description in RNAcentral is "long non-coding RNA (NBEN_LNC019849)". Lineage: Eukaryota; Viridiplantae; Streptophyta; Magnoliopsida; Solanales; Solanaceae. The record is from RNAcentral.